This 497-nucleotide ribosomal RNA is filed under the name uncultured bacterium. RNAcentral describes it as "partial 16S ribosomal RNA". It matches the Rfam family "Bacterial small subunit ribosomal RNA", at positions 28 to 507 of the family's 1533-position model. The record is from RNAcentral.
GAUGAACGCUGGCGGCGUGCCUAAUACAUGCAAGUCGAGCGAACAGACGAGGAGCUUGCUCCUCUGACGUUAGCGGCGGACGGGUGAGUAACACGUGGAUAACCUACCUAUAAGACUGGGAUAACUUCGGGAAACCGGAGCUAAUACCGGAUAAUAUAUUGAACCGCAUGGUUCAAUAGUGAAAUACGGUUUUGCUGUCACUUAUAGAUGGAUCCGCGCCGCAUUAGCUAGUUGGUAAGGUAACGGCUUACCAAUGCAACGAUGCGUAGCCGACCUGAGAGGGUGAUCGGCCACACUGGACCUGCGACACGGUCCAGACUCCUACGGGAGGCAGCAGUAGGGAAUCUUCCGCAAUGGGCGAAAGCCUGACGGAGCAACGCCGCGUGAGUGAUGAAGGUCUUCGGAUCGUAAAACUCUGUUAUUAGGGAAGAACAAAUGUGUAAGUAAAUAUGCACGUCUUGACGGUACCUAAUCAGAAAGCCACGGCUAACUACGUG